UGAGCAUGCAAACGACACGAGAUAGCAGUGUUUUAUAUUUGUCUCAUCGGUGUGUAGUUUGCGUGUAAGGGGAGCGGGCACAAACUAACGCUGGGUUAGUUGUAACACACGUGGUUUAAACGUUUCCACGCACACUGGGUACCAGCCGUGAGACCAGUGCUGUGAGCUUGCAAACUGGGCACUAAGACACAGCAACAUCCCCAUCACCAAAAGCAGCCUGCAGAUGUGCACCAUUACUGGGGAAAGAAGCGGGAUCAAGGCUCCAUAGUAUGGAAGAAGGAUCCCACAACGAAAUGAAAAAAUAAGAGAAGAAAGUCAGUCAUACACAUCUGGGAUGGCAUGAGGGUUGGUUACCAUGACAAUGGUGGCAGUGUUCUGUUCCCAGAUCAUCCUCCAGAAGUCAUUGACUGUCUCCUCCUUUGGCC
Molecule: long non-coding RNA, 425 nt
Organism: Myxocyprinus asiaticus (Chinese sucker)
Lineage: Eukaryota; Metazoa; Chordata; Actinopteri; Cypriniformes; Catostomidae
Exons: 5
Source: RefSeq, a predicted model, not a curated record